AUUGAACGCUGGCGGCAGGCCUAACACAUGCAAGUCGAGCGGUAGAGAGAAGCUUGCUUCUCUUGAGAGCGGCGGACGGGUGAGUAAUACCUAGGAAUCUGCCUGAUAGUGGGGGAUAACGUUCGGAAACGGACGCUAAUACCGCAUACGUCCUACGGGAGAAAGCAGGGGACCUUCGGGCCUUGCGCUAUCAGAUGAGCCUAGGUCGGAUUAGCUAGUUGGUGAGGUAAUGGCUCACCAAGGCUACGAUCCGUAACUGGUCUGAGAGGAUGAUCAGUCACACUGGAACUGAGACACGGUCCAGACUCCUACGGGAGGCAGCAGUGGGGAAUAUUGGACAAUGGGCGAAAGCCUGACCCAGCCAUGCCGCGUGUGUGAAGAAGGUCUUCGGAUUGUAAAGCACUUUAAGUUGGGAGGAAGGGGCAUUAACCUAAUACGUUGGUGUCUUGACGUUACCGACAGAAUAAGCACCGGCUAACUCUGUGCCAGCAGCCGCGGUA
This 500-nucleotide ribosomal RNA is filed under the name uncultured bacterium. RNAcentral's name for it is "bacterial SSU rRNA". It matches the Rfam family "Bacterial small subunit ribosomal RNA", at positions 30 to 522 of the family's 1533-position model. The record is from RNAcentral.